This 363-nucleotide small RNA is filed under the name Candidatus Enterococcus dunnyi. Its description in RNAcentral is "Enterococcus sp. 9D6_DIV0238 cspA thermoregulator". It matches the Rfam family "cspA thermoregulator". Lineage: Bacteria; Bacillati; Bacillota; Bacilli; Lactobacillales; Enterococcaceae. The record is from Rfam by way of RNAcentral.
GCAUGUACAAUGGAUGUGUAAUCUUGUUUGGGGCAUAUAGAAGUUUUUAUUAAAAAACCCUCUAUCGUACACGGGCAAUGUUACAAUAUUUAGUGCUUAAGCACGAGGAGGAACAAAGAAUGGAACAAGGAACAGUAAAAUGGUUUAAUGCAGAAAAAGGGUUUGGAUUUAUCUCUCGCGAAGACGGAAGCGAUGUAUUCGUACACUUCUCAGCUAUCCAAGGAGACGGAUUCAAAACUUUAGAAGAAGGUCAAUCAGUAAGCUUCGACGUUGAAGAUUCAGAUCGUGGACCUCAAGCAGUUAACGUAGAAAAAAACUAAUUCAUCCAUUCCAAAACAUCUGACGAAAGUCGGAUGUUUUUUU